CACAGAAUCCUCAGCACUUUGCAAACGAGGAAAUGAAAACAAAGGAAGGGAGAAAUUAAAAAGCCCGGCAGAAAGGAUAAAACUGGGGACAUCUGAUCUGGAACGCUACCAUUACGGUGCUCUCGUGACAUUCGUACUGCAGUACUGACUUGGGAGGCUGCCCUACUUCAGUCUGAAUGCCUCGAGGUACAGUCAGUGCUUUUGUCCCAUUGCCC
This 215-nucleotide long non-coding RNA is filed under the name Gallus gallus (chicken). The record is from RNAcentral. Lineage: Eukaryota; Metazoa; Chordata; Aves; Galliformes; Phasianidae.